Molecule: unclassified non-coding RNA, 299 nt
Organism: Rattus norvegicus (Norway rat)
Lineage: Eukaryota; Metazoa; Chordata; Mammalia; Rodentia; Muridae
Product: Metazoan signal recognition particle RNA
Source: Ensembl
GCCGGGCGCGGUGGCGCACGCCUGUAGUCCCAGCUACUCGGGAGGCUGAGACAGGAGGAUCGAUUGAGUCCAGGAGUUCUGGGCUGUAGUGCGCUAUGCCGAUCGGGUGUCCGCACUAAGUUCGGCAUCAAUAUGGUGACCUCCCGGGAGCGGGGGACCACCAGGUUGCCUAAGGAGGGGUGAACCGGCCCAGGUCGGAAACGGAGCAGGUCAAAACUCCCGUGCUGAUCAGUAGUGGGAUCGCGCCUGUGAAUAGCCACUGCACUCCAGCCUGGGCAACAUAGCGAGACCCGUCUCUU